RNAcentral lists this ribosomal RNA (808 nucleotides) under Ochrosphaera sp. RCC1963. Its description in RNAcentral is "SSU rRNA". It matches the Rfam family "Eukaryotic small subunit ribosomal RNA", at positions 628 to 1461 of the family's 1831-position model. The record is from RNAcentral. Lineage: Eukaryota; Haptophyta; Coccolithales; Hymenomonadaceae.
UCGUAGUCGGAUUUCGGGGCGGGCCUGCCGGUCUGCCGAUCGGUACGCACUGGCGGGCGCGUCCUUCCUUCCGGAGACCGCGCCUCCUCUUAACUGAGCGGGCGUGGGAGACGGAUCGUUUACUUUGAAAAAAUCAGAGUGUUUCAAGCAGGCAGCUCGCUCUUGCAUGGAUUAGCAUGGGAUAAUGAAAUAGGACUCUGGUGCUAUUUUGUUGGUUUCGAACACCGGAGUAAUGGUCAACAGGGACAGUCAGGGGCACUCGUAUUCCGCCGAGAGAGGUGAAAUUCUCAGACCAGCGGAAGACGAACCACUGCGAAAGCAUUUGCCAGGGAUGUUUUCACUGAUCAAGAACGAAAGUUAGGGGAUCGAAGACGAUCAGAUACCGUCGUAGUCUUAACCAUAAACCAUGCCGACUAGGGAUUGGAGGCUGUUCCUUUAGUGACUCCUUCAGCACCUUUCGGGAAACUAAAGUCUUUGGGUUCCGGGGGGAGUAUGGUCGCAAGGCUGAAACUUAAAGGAAUUGACGGAAGGGCACCACCAGGAGUGGAGCCUGCGGCUUAAUUUGACUCAACACGGGGAAACUUACCAGGUCCAGACAUUGUGAGGAUUGACAGAUUGAGAGCUCUUUCUUGAUUCGAUGGGUGGUGGUGCAUGGCCGUUCUUAGUUGGUGGAGUGAUUUGUCUGGUUAAUUCCGUUAACGAACGAGACCGCAGCCUGCUAAAUAGUUCCGCGAACACUCCGUUGGCGGCCGACUUCUUAGAGGGACAACUUGUCUUCAACAAGUGGAAGUUUGCGGCAAUAACAGGU